CUGCGGUUCAGGGCCAGGGUGACCCCCAUCCAGGUUUGUCCAGACGAGGCACGGGGAGUCCCAGGUGCCGGAAAGCCAGGCCCGGGCAAACUGCACGGCUGCUUUUGUCCAGUCAGGGCUGGCCUGCCUUCCUCCUGGGUGCUUUCAGACUGCCAGAGGCAGGCUGUGACAUGGUUCCCCGUGUGACCUUGGCAGUGGCCUCGCCUCCCUCGACCUCAGUUUCCCCACCUCUAAAGCAGGAGCUUGGCCGGAAGCUCCGAGGCUGCCUCUGGCCUCUCCAUCCCUCUGUUUACACAUCCGUUUAAGCAUCUGUGUCCUGCUGACCAAGCUCAGGACAGCUUCUGGUCUCCACGUGGCCACCUUCCUUGGGGCGUCACUGAGAAACCAACUAGGAUGACCGCAGGUGGCCCCUGGGCCCCUGCAGGAGGCCCCCCCAUUCAUCAAGAGUGUCCGUUACCAGAAGCGGAAUGCUGUCAAGGACCUUGCUGGAGAAUUAUCAUUUCCUAUCGAUACGCAGCGGCCUUCCCUCCCCCUCACGACGCCUCCGUCUUCCCCGGGACCCUUCUUCUGCCGUCAGCGACGCCCACCGUUCACGUUUGCUCAGGUUCAGAUCAGCCCAAGGCCUGGUUGUGCCCUGGUGUCUGGAGGUGCCUGUGUAAACACAAUACAGCUUGUUGUUUUCCAAAUCCA
Molecule: long non-coding RNA, 690 nt
Organism: Suricata suricatta (meerkat)
Lineage: Eukaryota; Metazoa; Chordata; Mammalia; Carnivora; Herpestidae
Exons: 2
Source: RefSeq, a predicted model, not a curated record